UGGGGAAUAUUGGACAAUGGGCGCAAGCCUGAUCCAGCCAUACCGCGUGGGUGAAGAAGGCCUUCGGGUUGUAAAGCCCUUUUGUUGGGAAAGAAAAGCAGCUGGUUAAUACCCGGUUGUUCUGACGGUACCCAAAGAAUAAGCACCGGCUAACUUCGUGCCAGCAGCCGCGGUAAUACGAAGGGUGCAAGCGUUACUCGGAAUUACUGGGCGUAAAGCGUGCGUAGGUGGUUGUUUAAGUCUGUCGUGAAAGCCCUGGGCUCAACCUGGGAAGUGCGAUGGAAACUGGGCGACUAGAGUGUGGCAGAGGAUAGUGGAAUUCCUGGUGUAGCAGUGAAAUGCGUAGAGAUCAGGAGGAACAUCCGUGGCGAAGGCGACUGUCUGGGCCAACACUGACACUGAGGCACGAAAGCGUGGGGAGCAAACAGG
Molecule: ribosomal RNA, 429 nt
Filed under: bacterium
Lineage: Bacteria
Description: partial 16S ribosomal RNA
Rfam family: Bacterial small subunit ribosomal RNA
Source: RNAcentral